ACCUGGCAGGCUCAGUUGGUAGAGCAGGUGACUCUAGAUCUUGGGGUCGUGAGUUUGAGCCCCAUGUUGGGUG
This 73-nucleotide transfer RNA is filed under the name Felis catus (domestic cat). It matches the Rfam family "tRNA". From Rfam's summary of the family: Transfer RNA (tRNA) molecules are approximately 80 nucleotides in length. Their secondary structure includes four short double-helical elements and three loops (D, anti-codon, and T loops). Further hydrogen bonds mediate the characteristic L-shaped molecular structure. tRNAs have two regions of fundamental functional importance: the anti-codon, which is responsible for specific mRNA codon recognition, and the 3' end, to which the tRNAs corresponding amino acid is attached (by aminoacyl-tRNA synthetases). tRNAs cope with the degeneracy of the genetic code in two manners: having more than one tRNA (with a specific anti-codon) for a particular amino acid; and 'wobble' base-pairing, i.e. permitting non-standard base-pairing at the 3rd anti-codon position. The record is from Rfam by way of RNAcentral. Lineage: Eukaryota; Metazoa; Chordata; Mammalia; Carnivora; Felidae.